AACAGCUGAAUCCUCCACAACAGCUACAACAACAGCAGAUCCUUCAACAACCACUACAACUAUUGCUGAAACAUCCACUACUACUGCAGGAGUUACCACGAUACCACCACAAUCUACAGUAACAACAACUGAAUCCUCCACAACAGCAGUUCCCUCAACAACCACUACAACUCUAACUGAAGCAUCCACUACUACUGCAGGAGUUACCACGACAGCACCACAAACUACUGUUACAACAGCAGAAUCCUCCACAACAGCUACAACAACAGCAGUUCCUUCAACAACCACUACCACUACAACUUUUGCUGAAUCAUCCACUACUACCGCAGGAGUUACCACAACAGCACCACAAAUUACUGUUACAACAGCAGAAUCCUCCACAACAGCUAGAACAACAGCAGCAACAUCUGAAACACCAGCAACUUCAUCGCCAACAGGUUCAGCCACAGUCUUUACAUCUAUUAUUGGUACAUCCACCAGUGGUACAGCAAUAACCGCAAUAGUGACACAAUCUAAAGUUACUACAGAGUCUACAGCAUCUAACACUUCUACAGAACCUGCAGUGUCUACAGCUGCUAUAGCUUCUACUGUAUCUACAGCUUCAACAGCAUCUACAGCAUCAACAGCAUCUACAACCUCUACAGCAUCUACAGCCUCUACAACAUCUACAACCUCUACAGCAUCUACAACCUCUACAGCAUCUACAACUUCCAAAGCAACUACUGCAAAAAUAAUACCUGAAGUGCUAACAGAUCUAGUGUUUAGCUCUUUUGAGACAUUUAUAGAUGCACUCAGUGAUGUCAACAGUGAGGAGUUUAAGAUUAGGUCUAAACUUGUCAAGGAUGAGGUGAGUUAAAAUCCAUUUAUUGUAUUUACUAGAACACAUUGAUAAUUUUCUUGACUUUUAAGCAUUUAUUUAACAGAAGAGACAACAUAAAUGUGACAAACAAUUAAACUAGAUUCCCAUACUGCAAUGUCUGUAAUUAUUUUUAUUUAUUCCAGCUUGAGCCUGUCUACAAAAUCAAGUAUUCUAACUUCCUCAGACUGAAUGUCCUAAGAUUCAGGUAAAUACAGUAUAUUGCAAUAUGAAUUAUUUUAUGAAUGCUCUGUGUGUGUGUGUGUGUGUGUGUGUGUGUGUGUGUGUGUGUGUGUGUGUGUGUGUGUGUGUGUGUGUGUGUGUGUGUGUGUCUGUGUCUGUGUGUGUGUGUGUGCGCGAGUGGUCCUGGUGUUCCCUUAUUGUGGGAACCAAAUGUCCCCACAAGGAUAAUAAUACCAGUAAAUUUUGACAUUUUUUUGGUCCCCAUGAGAAAACAAACUUAAAUCAUACAGAAUUAUCUUUUAAAAAAAUCUAAAAUAGCAGAAAGUCUUGUGUGAGGGUUAAUGGUAGGGUUAGGGUAAGGGGAUAGAAAAUACUGUUUGUACAGUAUAAGAAUCAUUACACCUAUGGAAUGUCCUCAAAACAUGGAAACAUGUGUAUGUUCCUACUUAACAAUAUUUUAAAGGGGCCUCUGAAUUCUUGAUCCAGGCCUGGUUAGAGUUAGUUUAUAGUAUUUAAAACUAGCUGUAUUAAGCUGUCCUCAUUUAGAUAGUUAAGUAAGUGUGUGUGUGUGUGUGUGUGUGUGUGUGUGUGUGUGUGUGUGUGUGUGUGUGUGUGUGUGUGUGUGUGCGUGCGUGCGUGUGUGUGAGUAAAAGAGAGAGGGGAAAAAAGAAACUUGCAAUAAACAGAAUUUAUAAAGCUAAUAUUUAUUAAUUUCAACAUUUAUAUAUUCUAGAUCAGGGUCAAUCAUCACAUCAACACAACUAGCUUUCAGCUUCAACCAAACUAUCCCAUCUGUUCAAGAGAUUUCAAACACCCUCUUGGAAGCAGUGGGAACAGGGGAUGUCAAUCCAUUAAAGAUAAUCCCUGAAUCAAUUUCAGUCAAUGGUUCAGCUACAACUGUUGCUCCUGCAACAACUACAACAACCACCACAGCAACUACAGUUUCAGGCGGAUUAAAGAUUGAAUCCAGUCUGUUCCAAGCAAUAUGCCUCAUUAUUAUGUCUAAAAUAUUAAGCUUUUUCCUAUAGAUCCCUUAAACAUAUCAACCAAACAUGAGAGUUCAACAAGACACACUGUAACAAAUUAAUUAAACACAAAAUGUAUUUAUUAUUAUUAUUAUUAAAUGUAUAGUAUUUCUCAUUGUAGCACAUUCUCAAAUACUAGUAUUGAGCAACAUAAAGAUAACUUUGAUAAUGCAUUUUUGCUGAAGAAUAUAACAGUAGAUAUCUGUUUAACAGCAGGCUGUUUUCUGGGAGGGAGAAGUAGAUCUUUUUCCUUAUGUAUUUCCUUUAAAUGUAAACAUUGUGAAUGUUGUUUAACUGUUUUGAGGUUAAUACUGUUUAAACUACUUAUUUUUGUUUGUCUAAGUUCUAACAUUGUAAUAUGUAAUAUUUUAAUUAAAUAAAAAUAUUUAUUAAAUGAUGUAGUCCAAAAUAUUUUGCUUUCAUAAAAAAAAGACUACAAUACAAC
Molecule: long non-coding RNA, 2509 nt
Organism: Cyprinus carpio carpio
Lineage: Eukaryota; Metazoa; Chordata; Actinopteri; Cypriniformes; Cyprinidae
Source: Ensembl